This 776-nucleotide ribosomal RNA is filed under the name uncultured Neocallimastigales. RNAcentral's name for it is "partial large subunit ribosomal RNA". It matches the Rfam family "Eukaryotic large subunit ribosomal RNA", at positions 24 to 645 of the family's 3401-position model. The record is from RNAcentral. Lineage: Eukaryota; Fungi; Neocallimastigomycota; Neocallimastigomycetes; Neocallimastigales.
GGUAGUCUCGCACAGAUGCAUAUCAAUAAGCGGAGGAAAAGAAACUAACUAGGAUUCCCUCAGUAACGGCGAGUGAAGCGGGAAGAGCUCAAAUUUGAAAUCUUCAAGGUUCUACCUUGACGAAUUGUAGUUUAAAGAAGUGUUUUCUGUUGGAGUUUUGGUAAAAGUUCUUUGGAAUAGGACAUCAUAGAGGGUGAGAAUCCCGUAUUUGACCAUUAUUUCCAGCUUUGUGAUACACUUUCAAAGAGUCGGAUUGUUUGGGAAUGCAGUCCAAAAUGGGUGGUAAAUUUCAUCUAAAGCUAAAUACUGGCGAGAGACCGAUAGCGAACAAGUACCGUGAGGGAAAGAUGAAAAGAACUUUGAAAAGAGAGUUAAACAGUACGUGAAAUUGUCAAAAGGGAAGCGUUUGACACCAGUGUUGUUUUUCUGAAAACCAAUUAAAAGAAGGCAGGAUUUUGUGUUGUAUUGACUUUAUCAGCUUUCUGCACUCUUUUCUUGUCUUUUUUAAUGCACUUUUCGUUUAACAAGUCAACAUCAAUUUCUUUUGUUGUAAAAGGGUCAUUGGAAGGUGGCUUUCUUUUCGGAGAAAGUGUUUAUAGCCUUUGGCCUCUGCAAUCGGAGAGAUUGAGGUCUGCAGCGUAGAUCCUUCGGGGUUAGAUACAUUUGUGCUAAGUUAUAGCCUUUCAUAGACAACUUGUUGACUAUGAUCAGUCAUGUAGCUUACUCGCUUAUGCUAUUUUACCUACGCUUAGGAUGUUGAAGUCAUCGUAUCGCGC